GAGUUUGAUCGUGGCUCAGGAUGAACGCUGGCGGCGUGCUUAACACAUGCAAGUCGAACGAAGCGCCUUAUUUGAUUUUCUUCGGAACUGAAGAUUUGGUGACUGAGUGGCGGACGGGUGAGUAACGCGUGGGUAACCUGCCCUGUACAGGGGGAUAACAAUCAGAAAUGACUGCUAAUACCGCAUAAGACCACAGCACCGCAUGGUGCAGGGGUAAAAACUCCGGUGGUACAGGAUGGACCCGCGUCUGAUUAGCUGGUUGGUGAGGUAACGGCUCACCAAGGCGACGAUCAGUAGCCGGCUUGAGAGAGUGAACGGCCACAUUGGGACUGAGACACGGCCCAAACUCCUACGGGAGGCAGCAGUGGGGAAUAUUGCACAAUGGGGGAAACCCUGAUGCAGCAACGCCGCGUGAGUGAAGAAGUAUUUCGGUAUGUAAAGCUCUAUCAGCAGGGAAGAAAGUGACGGUACCUGACUAAGAAGCCCCGGCUAACUACGUGCCAGCAGCCGCAGUAACG
This 518-nucleotide ribosomal RNA is filed under the name uncultured microorganism. RNAcentral's name for it is "bacterial SSU rRNA". It matches the Rfam family "Bacterial small subunit ribosomal RNA", at positions 9 to 525 of the family's 1533-position model. The record is from RNAcentral.